UGAUCCAUUGCAUUUUUUUAAUCAAGGAAAUUACACUCGAGUGAGAUUGAGUACAAGGGGAUCUUCGCUCCUCUUCAUCUUUCUUGAGUCUAUUUUCUUGAUUAAAGAAAUUCGCUGGAUCA
RNAcentral lists this microRNA precursor (122 nucleotides) under Medicago truncatula (barrel medic). RNAcentral describes it as "MIR1509 microRNA precursor family". It matches the Rfam family "MIR1509 microRNA precursor family". Lineage: Eukaryota; Viridiplantae; Streptophyta; Magnoliopsida; Fabales; Fabaceae. The record is from Rfam by way of RNAcentral.